GCACUUCAGCAAACCCUUGUCCAUAAGCCCAAGAGCUGGACAAGGGUCAAGAUUGUGCCUAGAGCGACUCAAAGUAUAUCCAGACGAGUCUUCUUUUCGUUGGAGCUUGUCCCUACAACUUUGACACAAUA
Chanos chanos (milkfish) is the source of this 131-nucleotide small nucleolar RNA. RefSeq annotates it as small nucleolar RNA SNORA55. Lineage: Eukaryota; Metazoa; Chordata; Actinopteri; Gonorynchiformes; Chanidae. The transcript has a single exon. The record is from RefSeq and is a predicted model, not a curated record.